Molecule: ribosomal RNA, 494 nt
Filed under: uncultured bacterium
Lineage: Bacteria
Description: partial 16S ribosomal RNA
Rfam family: Bacterial small subunit ribosomal RNA
Source: RNAcentral
GACGAACGCUGGCGGCGUGCUUAACACAUGCAAGUCGAACGGAGAAGCGCCGUCCUUGUUGGUGUGUGUUGAUGAGCGGCGAACGGGGGAGUAACACGUGAGUAACCUUCCCCCUUCUUCUUGAUAACCGCAUGAAAGUGUGGCUACUACGUGAUAUUCUGGGUCUGUCGCAUGAUUGGUCUGGGAAAGAUUUUGUUUCGGUGAGGGAUGGGCUCGCGGCCUAUCAGCUUGUUGGUGGGGUGAUGGCCUACCAAGGCGGUGACGAGUAGCCGGCCUGAGAGGGUCGACGGCACCAGAGGUACUGCGCCAUCCAGCAGCCUACUACGGGCGGCAGUAGUGGAGAAUCUGGAACAAUGGGCAGCAGGCUGAUGCAGCGCCGCGUCGUUGGGGAUGGACUCCUGCGCGUUAUGAACUUCUUUUGGCAGUGAAGAAGGCCUGCCUUGUCUGUGCGUGGGUUGACGGUAGCUGGAUAAGAAGCGCCGGCUAACUACGUG